AUUUUGACCUCAAAUCAGGUAGGACUAC
This 28-nucleotide ribosomal RNA is filed under the name Haasiella splendidissima. Its description in RNAcentral is "partial 28S ribosomal RNA". Lineage: Eukaryota; Fungi; Basidiomycota; Agaricomycetes; Agaricales; Hygrophoraceae. The record is from RNAcentral.